CCCUCAGGAUAGCUGGAGCCCUUAGCGAGUUCUAUCGGGUAAAGCCAAUGAUUAGAGGCAUCGGGGGCGCAAUGGCCUCGACCUAUUCUCAAACUUUAAAUAGGUAGGACGGUGCGGCUGCUUAGUUGAACCGCGCCACAGAAUCGAGAGCUCCAAGUGGGCCAUUUUUGGUAAGCAGAACUGGCGAUGCGGGAUGAACCGGAA
This 204-nucleotide non-coding RNA is filed under the name Gossypium arboreum. RNAcentral describes it as "Eukaryotic large subunit ribosomal RNA". It matches the Rfam family "Eukaryotic large subunit ribosomal RNA", at positions 970 to 1173 of the family's 3401-position model. The record is from Rfam by way of RNAcentral. Lineage: Eukaryota; Viridiplantae; Streptophyta; Magnoliopsida; Malvales; Malvaceae.